GGUACCYACAGAAGAAGUCCCGGCAAACUCCGUGCCAGCAGCCGCGGUAAUACGGAGGGGGCAAGCGUUGUUCGGAAUUAUUGGGCGUAAAGGGCAUGUAGGCGGUUUGGUAAGUUAAAGGUGAAAUACCAGGGCUUAACCCUGGGGCUGCUUUUAAUACUGCAGGACUAGAGUCCGGAAGAGGAUAGCGGAAUUCCUAGUGUAGAGGUGAAAUUCGUAGAUAUUAGGAGGAACACCAGUGGCGAAGGCGGCUGUCUGGUCCGGUACUGACGCUGAGGUGCGAAAGCGUGGGAGCAAA
Molecule: ribosomal RNA, 298 nt
Filed under: uncultured Anaplasma sp.
Lineage: Bacteria; Pseudomonadati; Pseudomonadota; Alphaproteobacteria; Rickettsiales; Anaplasmataceae
Description: partial 16S ribosomal RNA
Rfam family: Bacterial small subunit ribosomal RNA
Source: RNAcentral